UACGUAGGGCGCAAGCGUUAUCCGGAAUUAUUGGGCGUAAAGCGCGUGUAGGCGGCCAGGUAAGUCCGUUCUGAAAGCCCGGGGCUCAACCCCGGGAGGCGGAUGGAUACUGCUUGGCUCGAGUCCGGAAGAGGCGAGUGGAAUUCCCGGUGUAGCGGUGAAAUGCGCAGAUAUCGGGAGGAACACCAAUGGCGAAGGCAGCUCGCUGGGACGGUACUGACGCUGAGACGCGAAAGCGUGGGGAGCAAACAGG
This 253-nucleotide ribosomal RNA is filed under the name uncultured bacterium. RNAcentral's name for it is "partial 16S ribosomal RNA". It matches the Rfam family "Bacterial small subunit ribosomal RNA", at positions 524 to 776 of the family's 1533-position model. The record is from RNAcentral.